GGAUGUGGCUCAGUGGUAGAGAAUUUGCUUAGCGCCUGAGGCCCUGGGUUCAAUCCCCAGCAUCAAACA
RNAcentral lists this transfer RNA (69 nucleotides) under Marmota monax (woodchuck). RNAcentral's name for it is "tRNA.Leu". Lineage: Eukaryota; Metazoa; Chordata; Mammalia; Rodentia; Sciuridae. The record is from RNAcentral.